RNAcentral lists this ribosomal RNA (453 nucleotides) under uncultured bacterium. RNAcentral describes it as "partial 16S ribosomal RNA". It matches the Rfam family "Bacterial small subunit ribosomal RNA", at positions 355 to 799 of the family's 1533-position model. The record is from RNAcentral.
UGGGGAAUUUUGGACAAUGGGCGAAAGCCUGAUCCAGCAAUGCCGCGUGUGUGAAGAAGGCCUUCGGUUGUAAAGCACUUUUGUCCGGAAAGAAAUCCUUGGCUCUAAUACAGUCGGGGGAUGACGGUACCGGAAGAAUAAGCACCGGCUAACUACGUGCCAGCAGCCGCGGUAAUACGUAGGGUGCAAGCGUUAAUCGGAAUUACUGGGCGUAAAGCGUGCGCAGGCGGUUUGCUAAGACCGAUGUGAAAAUCCCCGGGCUCAACCUGGGAACUGCAUUGGUGACUGGCAGGCUAGAGUAUGGCAGAGGGGGGUAGAAAUUCCACGUGUAGCAGUGAAAUGCGUAGAGAUGUGGAGGAAUACCGAUGGCGAAGGCAGCCCCCUGGGCCAAUACUGACGCUCAUGCACGAAAGCGUGGGGAGCAAACAGGAUUAGAUACCCUGGUAGUCCACG